RNAcentral lists this ribosomal RNA (492 nucleotides) under uncultured bacterium. RNAcentral describes it as "partial 16S ribosomal RNA". It matches the Rfam family "Bacterial small subunit ribosomal RNA", at positions 29 to 507 of the family's 1533-position model. The record is from RNAcentral.
AGUGAACGCUGGCGGUAGGCCUAACACAUGCAAGUCGAACGGCAGCACAGUAAGAGCUUGCUCUUACGGGUGGCGAGUGGCGGACGGGUGAGGAAUACAUCGGAAUCUACUUUUUCGUGGGGGAUAACGGAGGAAAACUUACGCUAAUACCGCAUACAACCUACGGGUGAAAGCAGGGGUUCUUCGGACCUUUCGCGAUUGAAUGAGCCGAUGUCGGAUUAGAUAGUUGGCGGGGUAAAGGCCCACCAAGGCGACGAUACGUAGCUGGUCUGACCGGAUGAUCAGCCACACUGGAACUGAGACACGGUCCAGACUCCUACGGGAGGCAGCAGUGGGGAAUAUUGGACAAUGGGCGAAAGCCUGAUCCAGCCAUACCGCGUGGGUGAAGAAGGCCUUCGGGUUGUAAAGCCCUUUUGUUGGGAAAGAACAAAAGCAGGUUAAUACCCCGCUGUUCUGACGGUACCCAAAGAAUAAGCCCCGGCUAACUUCGUG